Molecule: non-coding RNA, 99 nt
Filed under: Bacillus sp. (in: firmicutes)
Lineage: Bacteria; Bacillati; Bacillota; Bacilli; Caryophanales; Bacillaceae
Description: Bacillus sp. SAM-I sequence
Rfam family: SAM riboswitch aptamer (S box leader)
About the family: The SAM riboswitch is found upstream of a number of genes which code for proteins involved in methionine or cysteine biosynthesis in Gram-positive bacteria. The SAM riboswitch acts at the level of transcription termination control.
Source: RNAcentral
UUCUUAUCAAGAGAGACGGAGGGAGAUGGCCCUAAGAAGUCUCAGCAACCAGCCUCAUGGCAAGGUGCUAAAUCCAGCAGUCGACCUGCAAGAUAAGAG